Molecule: long non-coding RNA, 273 nt
Organism: Oncorhynchus keta (chum salmon)
Lineage: Eukaryota; Metazoa; Chordata; Actinopteri; Salmoniformes; Salmonidae
Exons: 3
Source: RefSeq, a predicted model, not a curated record
AGAGAGGAAAGGAGAGACAGAUCACUGUUAAACAAGUGUAGCAGAGAGGAGAGACAGAUCACUGUUAAACAAGUGUAGCAGAGAGGAGAGACAGAUCACUGUUAAACAAGUGCAGCAGAGAGGAGAGACAGAUCACUGUUAAACAAGUGUAGCAGAGAGGAAAGGAGAGACAGAUCACUGUUAAACAAGUGUAGCAGAGAGGAGAGACAGAUCACUGUUAAACAAGUGUAGCAGAGAGGAGAGACAGAUCACUGUUAAACAAGUGUAGCAGAG